This is an RNA transcript of Trachemys scripta elegans, 3013 nucleotides long. It is a transcript of the gene named RNA binding motif protein 38, with no coding region annotated. The record is from RefSeq and is a predicted model, not a curated record. The transcript is spliced from 6 exons. Lineage: Eukaryota; Metazoa; Chordata; Testudines; Emydidae.
GGAUGGUACAAAGCCCGGCGCGGCGGCUGGCAGGCAGCGGCCGCUUCUGUUCCCCGGCGCCCUGCGGGAGGUCAUUGCACAAGAGGGGCUGGAGCCAGGGCUCUUCGCAGGCAGCGGUUCCCGGUGCAUGGGGGACAAAGCGACAGCUGCUGCUCCCGCUGCCUGCUGCUGCGUGGGGGCGGCCCCGCCUACCUCUGCCCCCAGCUGCGUGUGGUGAGGAGGAGGAUGACGACCCCGGCCCAGGGUGUCUCACGCCUCUUCUGAGCCCCUGAGCCGUUUGCUCCCGGCCGCCCGUGGCAUUUUGGAUGCUUUUUGCAGCGGCCGCCGCCCCGCGCCCGCAGCGCCAUGCACACCGUGCAGAAGGACACUACCUUCACCAAGAUCUUCGUCGGGGGGCUGCCCUACCACACCACCGACUCCUCCCUGAGGAAGUACUUCGAGGUGUUCGGGGACAUCGAGGAAGCGGUGGUGAUCACCGACCGGCAGACGGGCAAAUCCCGGGGAUAUGGUUUUGUGACCAUGGCAGACAGAGCUGCAGCUGAGAGAGCGUGCAAAGAUCCCAACCCCAUCAUUGAUGGCAGAAAAGCAAAUGUGAACCUGGCAUAUCUGGGAGCAAAACCAAGGAGUAUUCAAACUGGUUUUACUAUAGGUGUGCAGCAGCUACAUCCAGCCUUUAUUCAGCGACCAUAUGGGCUCACCCCUCACUAUAUUUACCCUCAAGCUAUCGUUCAGCCUAGCGUGGUCAUCCCCACCCCCGUGCAGUCUAUCACAUCUCCCUACAUAGACUACACCUCUGCGAGCCAAGCCUACUCCCAGUACACCACCGCUGCCUACGACCAGUACCCCUACGCCGCCUCUCCUGCUGCUGGGUUUGUGGGAUACGGCUACACGAGCGCAGUUCAGCAGCCCAUCACAGCUAGCAAUCCGGCGGCGCACACCACGGCUUUUGUUCAGUAUCAGCCCCAACAGCUGCAGCCUGACCGAAUGCAGUAAGGGCCCUGCCCAUGCGUUCGCCAUGUAGAACAAUCUUUUACAGUGGAAGGAUACAAACAAAAAAAGCAGAAAACAAAACCACCCAACCUUACUAGGUGCAUACGAAUACCUAAGCUAUUUAUAGUGUUAAGGACGAACCUAAACCCUUGCUGUCUGACUACGCUCAUGGAAAAGGACUUCCGGUAAGUUUUCUUUCAGUCAGGGCAAAUAUUGUCUUGAAGAUGGACUUAAAUUGACUGAAAUGUUAAAAGGAAAACUACAAUUUCUUGCACACUUAGUGAUCUGCUUCCAUUACCUGUCAUCUUCUCACUCCCCCUCCUUCUCCCUUGCCCCAUCCAUCAGUUGUUUCCUACUCCCCUUCCCCUCCCGAAAUCAGAUCUGCAAUCCUCUCAUUUACUGUUGAGGUAUACAAGGUACUCGGAGAACAUGGAUAAAAAGCAAUCGUAUUUUUUGGUUGUACAAAAACUUUGUAAUACUCAGAGAUGCCUUACAGAAAAAAGAAGAAAACUAUUUUUUAAUAUUUAUUGCGAUUUUAUGCGCAUGAGCUGUGAAUUGCAGACAGAAGAAUAGUAUCACUGCAGCUCCCCGCAGACCGUUGAAAAUUCGGACCCCAGAUUCACACGGACAGCAUCCUCCUUCCAACCAUAACUGCUAUCAGUAGGGAUGUGUAAUAGAUGAAAUGCCAGAGAGAAAUGAUUUCAUGCUGCCUCGCUCCUGCAUCGACUGCCAUGCGUCGUUACAGGGCAGAGUCCUGGCUUGGUACAUGAGAAACUCCCAGCCUUUCAUGGUCCUGAAUUGAUAUGAGGAUACUCACGUUGUCUGGAAACCAGGCUGAGUCAGCAAAAUCGCUCCCUGCACCUGCAAACUGGGAUCUGCGGUCUGAAUCCUCCAGUGCAAGAGAGAAUCAUUUCACUCGAAUGCUAACAACAAGACAGCCGGAGCCUAUUCUGAGCCCGUGGAGCCAUCUGGUUCGUUUGCAUACCUGCAGAAAUUUUCCUAAAGACCAGGCCAGCUGAGCAAAGUUCUGAGCAUCAGGAAAAAAAGAUGGGAUGCUUUUUAUUCUACCAUUUAGCUCCCUGUAACAGAAAGCAUUGGAGUCAGUGGAGUCUUGACCCCUGCCACAUGACAUUACUUCCUGGCCCCAGCCAAAAGCAAAUGCAACCAGUCUCCCUUGCCAGCACUCCUGUGUGUCACAUCUUCAUUAUACCCAAAACCUGCUUGAUGAAACAGCCCCAGAAAAGGACAAUGGAACAGACCUGGGGCUGAUUAAACUGGGCUUAGCUCUUCCACAUAAUGAAUGAAAAUCGUUGGACUUUAUCUCCUUCCUAUAAUUAGAAGUGGACAUACUGAAUUAACCCCCCAAGUCUGGUAUGUUUUGAUACCCUUCCAUUGCGCUCCUUCGUUGUUACUUCCUGCUGAUUCAUGGAUACUUAAUAAUGAUUUUAAUAUUGAGUGUUGGUGAAAAGUGCUGCAUUAGCACCCCUGGAGCCUCAAGGCCACUGUCUAUGGACUCACUUCUGCCUUGAUGCCCAAAAGACAUGGAAACAAAUCACACAGAAUCCAUCACUCCAAGUUCCUCCUGCCGCUGGUCUUCCCAAUGUCCAUCUUCUCAGUUUGUAAAUUUGAGACUGUGCACAUUCUGGGGCAGGAGCAACCUUCAUUUUGUGCCACGUAAGCUCCAAGUAUAUUGCCAGUGCUUAAAAACAAUAAGUGAGAGUACCUAGUGGGUAUAGCACACAGUACAAACUUCAUCUUGUUCUCCAUGGCACCUCUCCCUCAGCCUUCAGAGGCAACCUCUAGACAUGAGGAAGGUAGUUCAGACUCUGUUCCCAUUCAGUCUUUGGCCUCUCUGCUGACACUGCCAAAUAGUACAAACCAUGGUGAUAGCCAUUGUGAAGCCACCAAACCAGUUCUGCCUGGGGCACUGUAUUGCCACCAGAUUGUGACAACAUUCAGUUACUACCAACCCAGGCUGGAUUCCAAUCCAGGGCUGCCCGGGGGGGGGGGGGCAAGUGGGGGC